CGGGGCUGUUCCCGGGGAGGCUGUGAUGGGUUGACAGGUGCGUGACAGUCGGAGCUCUCUGCAGGCAUGUACGGCAAAGGCAAGAGCAACAGCAGCGUCCCGUCCGACAGCCAGGCUAGGGAGAAAUUAGCACUGUACGUAUAUGAAUAUCUGCUCCAUGUAGGAGCACAGAAAUCAGCCCAGACGUUUUUAUCAGAGAUAAGAUGGGAAAAAAACAUCACACUGGGGGAGCCCCCAGGAUUCUUACAUUCCUGGUGGUGUGUAUUUUGGGAUCUUUACUGUGCAGCUCCAGAAAGACGAGAAACAUGUGAACAUUCAAGUGAAGCAAAAGCCUUUCAUGACUAUAGUGCUGCAGCAGCUCCCAGUCCAGUGCUAGGAAACAUUCCCCCAGGAGAUGGCAUGCCAGUAGGUCCUGUACCACCGGGUUUUUUUCAGCCUUUCAUGUCCCCUCGGUACCCUGGAGGUCCAAGGCCACCUUUAAGAAUACCCAAUCAGGCACUUGGAGGUGUCCCAGGAAGUCAGCCAUUAUUGCCUAGUGGGAUGGACCCAACACGGCAGCAAGGACAUCCAAACAUGGGUGGGCCAAUGCAGAGAAUGACUCCUCCAAGAGGAAUGGUUCCAUUAGGACCCCAGUCUGACCCUUGGUUAUCAUUGCAGAACUAUGGAGGUGCAAUGAGACCCCCACUGAAUGCUUUAGGUGGCCCGGGGAUGCCUGGAAUGAACAUGGGUCCUGGGGGUGGUAGACCAUGGCCAAAUCCAACCAAUGCCAAUUCUAUACCUUAUUCUUCAGCAUCUCCUGGGAACUAUGUAGGUCCUCCAGGAGGUGGAGGCCCACCAGGAACACCCAUCAUGCCUAGUCCUGCAGAUUCAACCAACUCUGGAGACAACAUGUACACUUUAAUGAAUGCAGUACCACCUGGACCCAACAGACCUAAUUUUCCCAUGGGGCCAGGGUCGGAUGGACCUAUGAGUGGACUGGGUGGAAUGGAUUCACAUCAUAUGAAUGGAUCAUUAGGCUCAGGAGACAUGGACAGUAUUUCCAAAAACUCUCCCAGUAAUAUGAGCAUGAGCAAUCAGCCUGGCACUCCCAGGGAUGACGGUGAGAUGGGUGGAAACUUCCUAAACCCUUUUCAGAGUGAGAGCGUUCCUAAAUAGGAGUGGCCUGAUUUUUCAGAAGUGCUGAGUGACUUCAACACUUCUAUUCUUAUUGGAAAUCACUGCUGCCAGAAUACUCCCCUAGCAUGACAAUGAGUGUGUGAUCCGUUAACAAGUCUCGCCGUGAAGACCACAGUGAGUUGGCCCUCUUCAGAGAGCUACCACAGAAGAAAAUUAUUCGUCCCAGUGUACAGUUUAACAAAAGGAUCUCUGAUACAAUCAGACCCACCUUUUUCUUUGUUUUUAUUCUUUUUUUUUAAU
Dryobates pubescens (Downy woodpecker) is the source of this 1416-nucleotide RNA transcript. It is a transcript of the gene named single stranded DNA binding protein 2, with no coding region annotated. The record is from RefSeq and is a predicted model, not a curated record. NCBI's taxonomy places the organism in Eukaryota, Metazoa, Chordata, Aves, Piciformes, Picidae. The transcript has 18 exons.